UCAUGAUAAUUAACUUGUAAGUUGGGCUG
Molecule: non-coding RNA, 29 nt
Filed under: Homo sapiens (human)
Lineage: Eukaryota; Metazoa; Chordata; Mammalia; Primates; Hominidae
Source: RNAcentral